This 1120-nucleotide long non-coding RNA is filed under the name Mytilus galloprovincialis (Mediterranean mussel). The record is from RNAcentral. Lineage: Eukaryota; Metazoa; Mollusca; Bivalvia; Mytilida; Mytilidae.
UUUUUGACGGUUACCGGUAACGGAAAUGAACAUAAUCCGGAAAUCGUAAAUUUUGCAAAAUAAAAAAAAUCAGGGCGGGACGAUUUCAGAGGGGCGGGCGGGGAUGAAAAUCUGUCAAUUAAUUUUAAUUGGCCUUAAUCUUCAUAUGGGUAAGAGAUUUAGUUAUUUAUUUCAAAUAUAUAAAAACCUUACUUAUGAAUAAAUAAAGGCAAAUCCCACAAAUAAUCCAAAUGGAUAAAUAAAAAAAUAAUAAACUGGCCUAAUAUCAAACUGUUCAGAUAUAUAAAACAGUAAAUGCAUCAGUCAUACAAAUAUUCAAUACUAUCUUAAAUAAGAAGAAAAAAGAACCAAAACACAUCAAUCAUUUAUUUUGUAAUAUUAAUUUAGAAUAAAAAAAAUACCAUUAGAUGGAAUGUUUAAAUAUUAAUGCGAAAGUGAUUUGUGAAAUUUAUCUAAAUACCAACAUCUUUAUGGUCAGAUGUUGACUAAUGUGAAGCAAUGGUUUUGCUUUUUUUUUAUUUUCUUUCUUGCAUCUAUUUUUUUCAAAUUUUCUAUUUUGUGAUUAUUUUUCAUCUUUAGUUAUUAGACUAAGACAAGGUUUAUAGAUGACUAGGCAAGAAACUCCUUCUAAUUUCUGAACCACAGAUAACCUAUAAAUACCAUCUCAUUUUGACUUAAUUUUUUUAUCUCAAACUUUUUUUGAAUCAUAAUAAAGAAGUCCACCUCCAUGACUUACAAGAAGGAUUAGAAAAUUUUGAAAUUAUUUGGUUUGUUCUUUCAAUUCUCAUGCCUUGAAAUUCACAUAAAAUAUAUUCACCAAUGUCAUACAUAUUACUUAAAAUUUCAUGGUAUAAUAUAAUAUGUACAAAACAGAUUAACAAUUACAUUAAUAAAAUAAAACUCUAACAAAAACAGUUGUGUAAAGUACAGAUAAGAUAGAAGAGGCAUUCUUAUGAAAAACAGCCAGAAUUCAAUGUUCUCUCUAAAAAAAAAACCUGUUACUGGGUUGUGUUUUAAAAACCAAUCUCAAGUUUUUUUUUAUGAAUGAGUUAUACCAUGCAAGUUGACCUAGUCUUUCAGUACUAAGUGUCAUUGUAACUGUGAAAAAAAACCAUUAACA